This is a non-coding RNA of Paramormyrops kingsleyae, 423 nucleotides long. NCBI's taxonomy places the organism in Eukaryota, Metazoa, Chordata, Actinopteri, Osteoglossiformes, Mormyridae. The record is from RefSeq and is a predicted model, not a curated record.
AAGCCCCCAGAAACCAAGCCAGAGGUGACAGUGGCAAGGAAAAACUCCCUAGAAGGAAGAAACCUUGGGAGGAACCAGACUCAAAGGGGGAGCCCAUCCUUUAUUAGGAACAUCCUUCUGAUGCUGGCAUUUCACUGACUGAGACAGACAGCUUGCUUCCAGUUGCAUCCCAGGCCGGAGACGAAGCUGGCGAUGCCAUGCACCUCCCACACGCCGUCAGCGCUCUUGCAGUUCAGGGGGCCGCCGGAGUCGCCCUGGAACAAGCAGGACAGUGUGUGAGCUGUUCAGUUCACCCUUUUAUCCCUCUGUAAUUAACUGAAGUGGAGGAGUGUCAGACAAGGGAGAAGAACACUAUGCAGAGCUCUUCCUUUAUGUAAAGAAGAGACAAUAAAUGCUUGUAUGAACAACUGUAAUGUAACACUC